UACGGAGGAUCCGAGCGUUAUCCGGAUUUAUUGGGUUUAAAGGGUGCGUAGGCGGUUUGAUAAGUUAGAGGUGAAAUGUCGGGGCUCAACCCCGAAACUGCCUCUAAUACUGUUGGACUAGAGAAUAGUUGCGGUAGGCGGAAUGUAUGGUGUAGCGGUGAAAUGCUUAGAGAUCAUACAGAACACCGAUUGCGAAGGCAGCAUACCAAACUAUAUCUGACGUUGAGGCACGAAAGCGUGGGUAGCAAACAGG
RNAcentral lists this ribosomal RNA (253 nucleotides) under uncultured bacterium. RNAcentral describes it as "partial 16S ribosomal RNA". It matches the Rfam family "Bacterial small subunit ribosomal RNA", at positions 524 to 776 of the family's 1533-position model. The record is from RNAcentral.